GGUAGCUCAACCGGUAGAGCACCUGACUGUUAAUCAGGGGGUUGGGGGUUCGAAACCCUCCC
Molecule: transfer RNA, 62 nt
Filed under: marine eukaryotic metagenome
Rfam family: tRNA
About the family: Transfer RNA (tRNA) molecules are approximately 80 nucleotides in length. Their secondary structure includes four short double-helical elements and three loops (D, anti-codon, and T loops).
Source: RNAcentral